This 517-nucleotide non-coding RNA is filed under the name Pan troglodytes (chimpanzee). The record is from RNAcentral. Lineage: Eukaryota; Metazoa; Chordata; Mammalia; Primates; Hominidae.
CAAAAAAUGUAUAAUUUUCUUAUUCAAAAUUGCCUGCAGCAUUUUAAAUGAGGAAACCUAAACUAUUAAGAAAAAAAUUGUUCACAUUUUCAAUGCAUAGGCAAAGGCAUGUCGAAAUAUUCAUUAUGUGUGUACAGAAUUCCCUGAGUUAGUAGGGCUCUACAGAGCCAGUUCGUAAGUGAAUGCAUUAUGCUAUCAAUAUUAGGACUUUUUUCCUAAAGGAUGAUGAAACUAUCAUGUAUGAUACUCAAGUGAUGGAUACACAACAGCAUGCAUUUGUCAAGACCCAUACAAUUUAUAGCACAAAAACUGACUUUAAUAUACGCAAAUUUAAAAAAUUAUUUGAAAGGUUGGGAGUUCUCAGAAUGAAAUGUAUACUGUGACAAAAGAAUCUAACUGCAUAACAUGUACAAAACAAUCUCACUAAAAAAAUAAGGAGAAAAGGUUCUGGCUUAAGAAAGUUUGAAAAUGAGUGGAGUCUGUAAGACUAACAGCAAAUAAACUUCAUGUAAGUAUU